Molecule: ribosomal RNA, 497 nt
Filed under: uncultured bacterium
Lineage: Bacteria
Description: partial 16S ribosomal RNA
Rfam family: Bacterial small subunit ribosomal RNA
Source: RNAcentral
GAUGAACGCUGGCGGCGUGCCUAAUACAUGCAAGUCGAGCGAACAGACGAGGAGCUUGCUCCUCUGACGUUAGCGGCGGACGGGUGAGUAACACGUGGAUAACCUACCUAUAAGACUGGGAUAACUUCGGGAAACCGGAGCUAAUACCGGAUAAUAUAUUGAACCGCAUGGUUCAAUAGUGAAAGACGGUUUUGCUGUCACUUAUAGAUGGAUCCGCGCCGCAUUAGCUAGUUGGUAAGGUAACGGCUUACCAAGGCAACGAUGCGUAGCCGACGUGAGAGGGUGAUAGGCCACAUUGGAACUGAGACACGGUCCAGACUCCUACGGGAGGCAGCAGUAGGGAAUCUUACGCAAUGGGCGAGAGCUUGACGGAGCAACGCCGAGUGAGUGAUGAAGGUCUUCGGAUCGUAAAACUCUGUUAUUAGGGAAGAACAAAUGUGUAAGUAAAUAUGCACGUAUUGACGGUACCUAAUAAGAAAGCAACGGCUAACUACGUG